RNAcentral lists this non-coding RNA (332 nucleotides) under Leptosiphonia brodiei. Lineage: Eukaryota; Rhodophyta; Florideophyceae; Ceramiales; Rhodomelaceae. The record is from RNAcentral.
GGGGCUGACAGGAUUUCUACAUGUUUAUUAGUUUAGGUAGUAUUAAGAAUAUGGUUGUGCUGGCGCAUAACAUUGUAAAUUAUAUUUAAUUGCAAAACAUAAUAUUUUAGCUUUCUCAAGAAAUCUAGUACAAGCAUAGUUUAUCUUGUUUAAAUAUAUAGUGCUAACUAUUAGUUUAUUUUUUUAGCUUCUCUAAAAUUUAUCAUUAUCCAUUUAAGUUUAAUGAUUGAGUGUUUAGUUAAGAAAUCAUUUCUUAAAACUUUUUUUAAAAAAUUAAUAUUUACCUAAUCAUUUAAUAAAUGUGGACGUGGGUUCAAUUCCCACCAGUUCCA